This 250-nucleotide ribosomal RNA is filed under the name uncultured bacterium. RNAcentral describes it as "partial 16S ribosomal RNA". It matches the Rfam family "Bacterial small subunit ribosomal RNA", at positions 524 to 774 of the family's 1533-position model. The record is from RNAcentral.
UACGUAGGGAGCGAGCGUUGUCCGGAAUUACUGGGUGUAAAGGGAGCGUAGGCGGGAGAUCAAGUUGAAUGUUAAAUCUAUUGGCUUAACUGAUAGCUGCGUUCAAAACUGAUUUUCUUGAGUGAAGUAGAGGCAGGCGGAAUUCCUAGUGUAGCGGUGAAAUGCGUAGAUAUUAGGAGGAACACCAGUGGCGAAGGCGGCCUGCUGGGCUUUUACUGACGCUGAGGCUCGAAAGCAUGGGUAGCAAACA